RNAcentral lists this ribosomal RNA (460 nucleotides) under uncultured bacterium. Its description in RNAcentral is "partial 16S ribosomal RNA". It matches the Rfam family "Bacterial small subunit ribosomal RNA", at positions 338 to 795 of the family's 1533-position model. The record is from RNAcentral.
CCUACGGGUGGCUGCAGUGAGGAAUAUUGGUCAAUGGACGCAAGUCUGAACCAGCCAUGCCGCGUGCAGGAAGACGGCUCUACGAGUUGUAAACUGCUUUUGUACGGGAGUAAACGCAGAUACGCGUAUCUGUCUGAAAGUAUCGUACGAAUAAGGAUCGGCUAACUCCGUGCCAGCAGCCGCGGUAAUACGGAGGAUUCAAGCGUUAUCCGGAUUUAUUGGGUUUAAAGGGUGCGUAGGUGGGCGGAUAAGUUAGUGGUGAAAUUCCGAGGCUCAACUUCGGAAUUGCCUUUGAUACUGGUCGGCUAGAGAGUAGUUGCGGUAGGCGGAAUGUAUGGUGUAGCGGUGAAAUGCUUAGAGAUCAUAAAGAACACCGAUUGCGAAGGCAGCUUACCAAGCUACUUCUGACGUUGAGGCACGAAAGCGUGGGGAGCAAACAGGAUUAGAUACCCGGGUAGUC